GCCCUUGUUGAAUCUCCCUCCACACAUCAUCAACAGUCUUCCCACUCAAUGCUCUGGCCAGUUUGAAACUGGCCUGACGUUUGAGAGAAUAUACUGAAGAGGAACUCUCACUCUCCAUUCCCAUGGAUUGAUUGGCUUCAGCUGUCCAGAUAUUAUGAAGAAGCUCAUCAAGGUUCAUGCUGCCUAAUGGCUUCCCCAUUUCACCUAACUGGUUUUUAACCUCAUCAAGAGUAAGACCGUACCAUGAGUUUUGCCUUGUCAAUGGGGCAGGUUGUAAAUGAGAUUGUUGGCCGUUCAAUUGAGAACCCAUCGUCUGGAUCCCCAUCCACAACACUUUCAAAAACCAACCUUGAGGUUUGAUCUAUCAUCAUGAGAAUCAAAUUUUUAACUCUUAGUCGUAUAAUAAUUACACACAUCACUUAUCAACCAGUUAUUCCUUGAUACUUUUUCCUUUUUUGUAAGAAACCAAAAUAUUCAAUGAGAUAGAU
RNAcentral lists this unclassified non-coding RNA (488 nucleotides) under Hevea brasiliensis (rubber tree). Lineage: Eukaryota; Viridiplantae; Streptophyta; Magnoliopsida; Malpighiales; Euphorbiaceae. The record is from RNAcentral.